CCUACGGGUGGCAGCAGUCGAGAAUCAUUCACAAUGGGGGAAACCCUGAUGGUGCGACGCCGCGUGGGGGAAUGAAGGUCUUCGGAUUGUAAACCCCUGUCAUGUGGGAGCAAAUUAAAAAGAUAGUACCACAAGAGGAAGAGACGGCUAACUCUGUGCCAGCAGCCGCGGUAAUACAGAGGUCUCAAGCGUUGUUCGGAAUCACUGGGCGUAAAGGGUGCGUAGGCUGUUGCGUAAGUCGUGUGUGAAAGGCGCGGGCUCAACCCGCGGACGGCACAUGAUACUGCGAGACCAGAGUAAUGGAGGGGGAGCCGGAAUUCUCGGUGUAGCAGUGAAAUGCGUAGAUAUCGAGAGGAACACUGGUGGCGAAGGCGGGUUCCUGGACAUUAACUGACGCUGAGGCACGAAGGCCAGGGGAGCGAAAGGGAUUAGAUACCCUAGUAGUC
This 446-nucleotide ribosomal RNA is filed under the name uncultured bacterium. RNAcentral describes it as "partial 16S ribosomal RNA". It matches the Rfam family "Bacterial small subunit ribosomal RNA", at positions 338 to 795 of the family's 1533-position model. The record is from RNAcentral.